CAGCCGCCGCGGGAAUACGUAGGGCGCAAGCGUUGUCCGGAAUUAUUGGGCGUAAAGAGCUCGUAGGCGGUCUGUCGCGUCUGGUGUGAAAUCCCGAGGCUCAACCUCGGGCUUGCAUCGGGUACGGGCAGACUAGAGUGCGGUAGGGGAGACUGGAAUUCCUGGUGUAGCGGUGGAAUGCGCAGAUAUCAGGAGGAACACCGAUGGCGAAGGCAGGUCUCUGGGCCGCAACUGACGCUGAGGAGCGAAAGCAUGGGGAGCGAACAGGAUUAGAUACCCCUGUAGUCCCUGUCUCUUAUAC
RNAcentral lists this ribosomal RNA (301 nucleotides) under uncultured bacterium. RNAcentral's name for it is "partial 16S ribosomal RNA". It matches the Rfam family "Bacterial small subunit ribosomal RNA", at positions 509 to 807 of the family's 1533-position model. The record is from RNAcentral.